RNAcentral lists this non-coding RNA (49 nucleotides) under Elizabethkingia miricola. Its description in RNAcentral is "S15-Flavobacteria ribosomal protein leader". It matches the Rfam family "S15-Flavobacteria ribosomal protein leader". Lineage: Bacteria; Pseudomonadati; Bacteroidota; Flavobacteriia; Flavobacteriales; Weeksellaceae. The record is from RNAcentral.
UAUAUUUGCAGCCGAAUUACAUAAUAAUCAUUUAAAUAAUAUUGGAAUG